UGGUCAUGAUUUCUGGUUCAUGGGGUUUGUGAAUUUUGAUAAAGCAAAACAUCAUCUACUUGAAACUUUGUCAAUUUUUAGAGCACAACCCCCUCAUCUCAAUCUGCAACAACCAGCAGCUACUUACUAGAAGCAUUGCCUGUACUCUGUUUUAGUGUGUUUUUUUUCCUGUUUGUUCCUGCAUUAGAUAUGUAUUUGUAUUUCUUUUAUUGUAACAUUACUUGUAUGUUUAUACAUAUUCGGGAGUGACUAUGUUCGUUUUGAUGUAAAUAAAAG
This 276-nucleotide unclassified non-coding RNA is filed under the name Hevea brasiliensis (rubber tree). The record is from RNAcentral. Lineage: Eukaryota; Viridiplantae; Streptophyta; Magnoliopsida; Malpighiales; Euphorbiaceae.